CUCCUCGGAUUUAGCCCAGGCAGCCUGGGAGGUUCCGCAGUCGCCGCUUCCGCCUUGACCAGGUGAGGGUCCGGACCGAGCAGGGGGCCCGGGCUGGGGAGAGCCGGCGGAGCAGCCGUCGCUGGGGGCGCGUCCGGGGGGCGCUGGGCCUGUCCUCUUCUCCUGCGUCCUUCCCUCCCGCAGCCGCGCUUCCUCCUGUCUCCCUUCUGCGCUCCCCGCU
Molecule: long non-coding RNA, 220 nt
Filed under: Homo sapiens (human)
Lineage: Eukaryota; Metazoa; Chordata; Mammalia; Primates; Hominidae
Description: non-protein coding lnc-NLGN2-3:1
Source: RNAcentral